AGUGGCGGACGGGUGAGUAACGCGUGAGAAUCUGCCUUGGGGUCGGGGACAACCACUGGAAACGGUGGCUAAUACCGGAUAAGCCGAUUGGUGAAAGAUUUAUUGCCCGAAGAGGAGCUCGCGUCUGAUUAGCUAGUUGGUGAGGUAAGAGCUCACCAAGGCAGCGAUCAGUAGCUGGUCUGAGAGGACGAUCAGCCACACUGGGACUGAGACACGGCCCAGACUCCUACGGGAGGCAGCAGUGGGGAAUUUUCCGCAAUGGGCGAAAGCCUGACGGAGCAAGACCGCGUGAGGGAGGAAGGCUCUUGGGUUGUAAACCUCUUUUCUCAGGGAAGAAGCUCUGACCGUACCUGAGGAAUCAGCCUCGGCUAACUCCGUGCCAGCAGCCGCGGUAAUACGGAGGAGGCAAGCGUUAUCCGGAAUUAUUGGGCGUAAAGCGUCCGCAGGUGGCAAUUCAAGUCUGCUGUCAAAGCACGGGGCUUAACUCCGUUUAGGCAGUGGAAACUGAAUAGCUAGAGUGCCGUAGGGGUAGAGGGAAUUCCCGGUGUAGCGGUGAAAUGCGUAGAGAUCGGGAAGAACAUCGGUGGCGAAAGCGCUCUACUGGACGGCAACUGACACUCAGGGACGAAAGCUAGGGGAGCGAAUGGGAUUAGAUACCCC
RNAcentral lists this ribosomal RNA (660 nucleotides) under uncultured bacterium. Its description in RNAcentral is "bacterial SSU rRNA". It matches the Rfam family "Bacterial small subunit ribosomal RNA", at positions 94 to 788 of the family's 1533-position model. The record is from RNAcentral.